This 292-nucleotide ribosomal RNA is filed under the name uncultured bacterium. RNAcentral's name for it is "partial 16S ribosomal RNA". It matches the Rfam family "Bacterial small subunit ribosomal RNA", at positions 505 to 796 of the family's 1533-position model. The record is from RNAcentral.
GUGCCAGCAGCCGCGGUAAUACGGAGGGUGCAAGCGUUGUUCGGAAUUACUGGGCGUAAAGCGCGCGUAGGCGGUGUGUCAAGUCAGAUGUGAAAGCCCUCGGCUCAACCGGGGACGUGCAUUUGAAACUGGCAGACUUGAGUAUUGGAGGGGGUGGUGGAAUUCCCGGUGUAGAGGUGAAAUUCGUAGAUAUCGGGAGGAAUACCGGUGGCGAAGGCGACCACCUGGCCAAAUACUGACGCUGAGGUGCGAAAGCGUGGGGAGCAAACAGGAUUAGAUACCCUAGUAGUCC